CCGGCAAACUUGGGGCCAGCGGCCGGGGUAAUACGGAGGGUGCUAGCGGUAAUCGGAAUUACUGGGCGUAAGGGGCGCGUAGGUGGUUCGUUAAGUUGGAUGUGAAAUCCCCGGGCUCAACCUGGGAACUGCAUCCAAAACUGGCGAGCUAGAGUAGGGCAGAGGGUGGUGGAAUUUCCUGUGUAGCGGUGAAAUGCGUAGAUAUAGGAAGGAACACCAGUGGCGAAGGCGACCACCUGGGCUCAUACUGACACUGAGGUGCGAAAGCGUGGGGAGCAAACAGGAUUAGAUACCCGAGAUC
RNAcentral lists this ribosomal RNA (301 nucleotides) under uncultured Bacillus sp. Its description in RNAcentral is "bacterial SSU rRNA". It matches the Rfam family "Bacterial small subunit ribosomal RNA", at positions 493 to 794 of the family's 1533-position model. Lineage: Bacteria; Bacillati; Bacillota; Bacilli; Caryophanales; Bacillaceae. The record is from RNAcentral.